AUUGAACGCUAACGGCAUGCUUAACACAUGCAAGUCGAACGGCAGCACAGUAGUAGCAAUACUAUGGGUGGCGAGUGGCGGACGGGUGAGUAAUACAUAGGAAUCUGCCUUAUAGUGGGGGAUAACCCGGGGAAACUCGGGCUAAUACCGCAUAAUCUCUACGGAGCAAAGUGUGGGACCUUCGGGCCAUACGCCAAAAGAUGAGCCUAUGUCGGAUUAGCUAGUUGGCGGGGUAAAGGCCUACCAAGGCAACGAUCCGUAGCUGGUCUGAGAGGAUGAUCAGCCACACUGGGACUCAGACACGGCCCAGACUCCUACGGGAGGCAGCAGUGGGGAAUAUUGGACAAUGGGCGAAAGCCUGAUCCAGCAAUGCCGUGUGUGUGAAGAGGGCCUUCGGGUUGUAAAGCACUUUUAGUUGGGAAGAAAAGUUCAUGGCUAAUAUCCAUGAAUGCUGACGUUACCAACAGAAAAAGCACUGGCUAACUCUGUGCCAGCCGCCGCAGUAA
This 506-nucleotide ribosomal RNA is filed under the name uncultured bacterium. RNAcentral's name for it is "partial 16S ribosomal RNA". It matches the Rfam family "Bacterial small subunit ribosomal RNA", at positions 30 to 523 of the family's 1533-position model. The record is from RNAcentral.